GCCGUGGUAGCUCAGGUAGCAGAGCGCUUCUCUGAAAAAGAAGAGGUGGCCGGCGCACAUCCGGCCCACGGCACCA
Molecule: transfer RNA, 76 nt
Filed under: Patescibacteria group bacterium
Lineage: Bacteria
Description: tRNA-Phe
Rfam family: tRNA
About the family: Transfer RNA (tRNA) molecules are approximately 80 nucleotides in length.
Source: RNAcentral